GACCCAGGGGGCCCCGGCGGCUGCUCUGCUGAGACCUCUGUGUUUUAUCUGCGGUGAUGGUUACAAGUCAUCGAAAGCCACGCCAUCAAAAAAGCCGGGGAAGCAAGACUCUCUUCUCCCCUCGUCAUCCCUCCGCCUCCUGCUGACCCCCCAAGUUCGCGAGGUUGGUGUGUGUGGCGCUAACCGGGACCCCAGGCUCUGGUGAGGCCUCCCCUGCCAACAGGGUCGUGGGGCCCCGUCAGAGCUGUGCUGGGCCAGAGUCGAGCACGAGAGAAGCUUCUGGAAGGAGGACUCUCCUUAAGCAGCCGUCACAACAGUGAAGCCGAGCUCCCUGAGCGUGAAGAAUCUGGUCCCCCAGCUAUGCUCCCCGGCCGGCCUGGAGCUGGGCACCCCCACCCGAGGAUGGCAGCAGGGGCUGGGCUGAGCGCCCAGGCCCUCAAGGAGCACCGAGAGCAUUGCCCUCACUGCGGCCACCCGGUGCUCCAAGGCAUGGGACCGCGAGGGCGGCAGCGGCCACGCCUCCCUCCACCCUCCAGAGGACGUGGCCCUGGACUUCAGGGACCCCAAGCCCAGCGUCACCCCGGAGGCCAGCCCAGCAGACAGGAGGUGGCCGCACGCCAGCCCGGGCAAGGACCGCUCCGUGGAGAGGAAGGCUGGGGGAAGCGGUCACCCUCCCUCACCUGGGGCGUCCAGCUGUCAACAGAAAAGCUUCAGCCACCCUCCGUGGAGCACGUGACUGAGAGCCAGCCGCUCGCUGCGCUCCUUCAGCU
Long non-coding RNA from Eubalaena glacialis (North Atlantic right whale), 770 nucleotides. RefSeq lists it as uncharacterized. The record is from RefSeq and is a predicted model, not a curated record. The transcript has 3 exons. NCBI's taxonomy places the organism in Eukaryota, Metazoa, Chordata, Mammalia, Artiodactyla, Balaenidae.